Molecule: transfer RNA, 56 nt
Filed under: Melinis repens
Lineage: Eukaryota; Viridiplantae; Streptophyta; Magnoliopsida; Poales; Poaceae
Also listed under: 5 other names
Description: partial tRNA-Gly
Rfam family: tRNA
About the family: Transfer RNA (tRNA) molecules are approximately 80 nucleotides in length. Their secondary structure includes four short double-helical elements and three loops (D, anti-codon, and T loops). Further hydrogen bonds mediate the characteristic L-shaped molecular structure. tRNAs have two regions of fundamental functional importance: the anti-codon, which is responsible for specific mRNA codon recognition, and the 3' end, to which the tRNAs corresponding amino acid is attached (by aminoacyl-tRNA synthetases). tRNAs cope with the degeneracy of the genetic code in two manners: having more than one tRNA (with a specific anti-codon) for a particular amino acid; and 'wobble' base-pairing, i.e. permitting non-standard base-pairing at the 3rd anti-codon position.
Source: RNAcentral
GCGAGCGUAGUUCAGUGGUAAAACAUCUCCUUGCCAAGGAGAAGAUGCGGGUUCGA